RNAcentral lists this ribosomal RNA (913 nucleotides) under uncultured crenarchaeote. RNAcentral's name for it is "bacterial SSU rRNA". It matches the Rfam family "Archaeal small subunit ribosomal RNA", at positions 1 to 922 of the family's 1478-position model. The record is from RNAcentral. Lineage: Archaea; Thermoproteati; Thermoproteota.
UCCGGUUGAUCCUGCCGGACCUGACUGCUAUCGGAUUGAUACUAAGCCAUGCGAGUCAUUGUAGCAAUACAAGGCAUACGGCUCAGUAACGCGUAGUCAACCUAACCUAUGGACGGGAAUAACCUCGGGAAACUGAGAAUAAUGCCCGAUAGAACACUAUACCUGGAAUGGUUUGUGUUCCAAAUGAUUUAUCGCUAUAGGAUGGGACUGCGGCCUAUCAGUUUGUUGGUGAGGUAAUGGCCCACCAAGACUAUUACAGGUACGGGCUCUGAGAGGAGUAGCCCGGAGAUGGGUACUGAGACACGGACCCAGGCCCUAUGGGGCGCAGCAGGCGAGAAAACUUUGCAAUGUGCGAAAGCACGACAAGGUUAAUCCGAGUGAUUUGUGCUAAACGAAUCUUUUGUUAGUCCUAGAAACACUAACGAAUAAGGGGUGGGCAAGUUCUGGUGUCAGCCGCCGCGGUAAAACCAGCACCUCAAGUGGUCAGGAUGAUUAUUGGGCCUAAAGCAUCCGUAGCCGGCUCUGUAAGUUUUCGGUUAAAUCUGUACGCUUAACGUACAGGCUGCCGGGAAUACUGCAGAGCUAGGGAGUGGGAGAGGUAGACGGUACUCGGUAGGAAGUGGUAAAAUGCUUUGAUCUAUCGAUGACCACCUGUGGCGAAGGCGGUCUACCAGAACACGUCCGACGGUGAGGGAUGAAAGCUGGGGGAGCAAACCGGAUUAGAUACCCGGGUAGUCCCAGCUGUAAACUAUGCAAACUCAGUGAUGCAUUGGCUUGUGGCCAAUGCAGUGCUGCAGGGAAGCCGUUAAGUUUGCCGCCUGGGAAGUACGUACGCAAGUAUGAAACUUAAAGGAAUUGACGGGGGAGCACCACAAGGGGUGAAGCCUGCGGUUCAAUUGGAUUCAACGCCGGA